UAUUUUAAAGAGAGUUUGAUCCUGGCUCAGGACGAACGCUGGCGGCGUGCCUAAUACAUGCAAGUCGAACGAACGGAGGAAGAGCUUGCUCUUCCAAAGUUAGUGGCGGACGGGUGAGUAACACGUGGGCAACCUGCCUGUAAGUUGGGGAUAACUCCGGGAAACCGGGGCUAAUACCGAAUGAUAAGAUGU
RNAcentral lists this ribosomal RNA (192 nucleotides) under Listeria monocytogenes. Its description in RNAcentral is "partial 16S ribosomal RNA". It matches the Rfam family "Bacterial small subunit ribosomal RNA", at positions 1 to 184 of the family's 1533-position model. Lineage: Bacteria; Bacillati; Bacillota; Bacilli; Caryophanales; Listeriaceae. The record is from RNAcentral.